Non-coding RNA from Callorhinus ursinus (northern fur seal), 169 nucleotides. The record is from RefSeq and is a predicted model, not a curated record. NCBI's taxonomy places the organism in Eukaryota, Metazoa, Chordata, Mammalia, Carnivora, Otariidae.
UUGUCUGUACUCGACAUCGCCCCUUUGGAAUAUACACAGCGGCAGGAAACAUUUUAACGUCUCUUUUUCCAGGCCCCGGCUAACCUAUCAUGACCCUAAACAAGAUCAUGUCCAUGAAAGUGCCUUAUAAACAGUAAAGUGCCAGAUAAGGAACAGAAGCACAAGCAGG